Molecule: ribosomal RNA, 226 nt
Filed under: uncultured Gammaproteobacteria bacterium
Lineage: Bacteria; Pseudomonadati; Pseudomonadota; Gammaproteobacteria
Description: partial 16S ribosomal RNA
Source: RNAcentral
AUCAGAGUCAGUAUCGAUCCAGGUGGCCGCCUUCGCCACUGGUAUUCCUCCACAUCUCUACGCAUUUCACCGCUACACAUGGAAUUCUACCCCCCUCUACCGUACUCUAGCUUGCCAGUAUGUGAUGCAGUUCCAAGGUUGAGCCCUGGGCUUUCACAUCACACUUAACAAACCGCCUACGCGCGCUUUACGCCCAGUAAUUCCGAUUAACGCUUGCACCCUCCGU